CGGGGUGCAGCAGGCGCGAAAACUUUACAAUGCUGGCAACAGCGAUAAGGGGACCUCGAGUGCCAGGAUACAAUCUUGGCUGUCGUGAUGCCUAAAAAGCAUUACAUAGCAAGGGCCGGGCAAGACCGGUGCCAGCCGCCGCGGUAACACCGGCGGCUCGAGUGGUAACCGCUAUUAUUGGGUCUAAAGGGUCUGUAGCCGGCCGGAUAAGUCUCUUGGGAAAUCCAGCAGCUCAACUGUUGGGCUUCCAGGGGAUACUGUUCGGCUCGAGGCCGGGAGAGGUGAGAGGUACUUCAGGGGUAGGGGUGAAAUCUUGUAAUCCUUGAAGGACCACCAGUGGCGAAGGCGUCUCACCAGAACGGUCCUGACGGCAAGGGACGAAAGCUAGGGGCACGAACCGGAUUAGAUACCCGGGUAGUCCUAGCCGUAAACGAUACUCGCUAGGUGUCGGCCACGGUGCGACCGUGGUCGGUGCCGUAGGGAAGCCGUGAAGCGAGCCACCUGGGAAGUACGGCCGCAAGGCUGAAACUUAAAGGAAUUGGCGGGGGAGCACAA
Molecule: ribosomal RNA, 555 nt
Filed under: uncultured archaeon
Lineage: Archaea
Description: bacterial SSU rRNA
Rfam family: Archaeal small subunit ribosomal RNA
Source: RNAcentral